CUUCUCGGGCCUUGGAAAGCAAGUCCUGUGGUGACAUGACACCUCAGAAAGAACUGUGUCGGACUCAUUUCAAAAACAGCCUCAUAAACACCUGGGACAGAGGGCAUGAGAUUGACUGAAGGAACCAAUGUGGGAAGCAGAGGGGAGCAUCUCAGAAGGGGUGCAGAAGGAGGCAUCACUAAGGGCAGAAAUCUCUAAUUAUAUAAGAGGAUAUAAAAGACAGCAACUCACAGACAUCAGAUGCAUAUUCUGUAGGUCUACACAACAGAUGGUGGUGUCUGGCAGUGUCUUUUCUUUUAAACAGAAAAAUAUUGUUAUAAAAAUAUUCAGAAUACAUUUUUAGUUACUUAACCAAAUGUGUGGAUGAAUUACUGGGAAAUGAAA
This is a long non-coding RNA of Pipra filicauda (Wire-tailed manakin), 384 nucleotides long. RefSeq lists it as uncharacterized. The record is from RefSeq and is a predicted model, not a curated record. The transcript is spliced from 3 exons. NCBI's taxonomy places the organism in Eukaryota, Metazoa, Chordata, Aves, Passeriformes, Pipridae.